RNAcentral lists this transfer RNA (94 nucleotides) under Flavimobilis marinus. Its description in RNAcentral is "tRNA-Gln". Lineage: Bacteria; Bacillati; Actinomycetota; Actinomycetes; Micrococcales; Jonesiaceae. The record is from RNAcentral.
GCGCCUCUACCUGAGCAGGAUGGCGGGGGCGACGCUGGCUCGCCAGGAGCGCGUCCUGACCGAGCUCGGCCGGCUCGACGCCGCCCAGGCUCCC